RNAcentral lists this ribosomal RNA (2896 nucleotides) under Clostridioides difficile. RNAcentral's name for it is "bacterial LSU rRNA". It matches the Rfam family "Bacterial large subunit ribosomal RNA". Lineage: Bacteria; Bacillati; Bacillota; Clostridia; Peptostreptococcales; Peptostreptococcaceae. The record is from RNAcentral.
UCAAGUUAUUAAGGGUGCAGGGCGGAUGCCUUGGCACUAGGAGCCGAUGAAGGACGUGAUAAGCUGCGAUAAGCUUCGGGGAGUUGCACGUAAACUUUGAUCCGAAGAUUUCCGAAUGAGGAAACUCACUUAGAGUAAUGUCUAAGUAUCAUUAAGUGAAUACAUAGCUUAAUGAGGGGAACUCAGGGAACUGAAACAUCUAAGUACCUGAAGGAAGAGAAAGAAAUUCGAUUCCGUAAGUAGCGGCGAGCGAACGCGGAUUAGCCCAAACCAAUAAAGUUUUCUUUGUUGGGGUUGCGGACAUAUCAUAACGAAGAGGUAUCGUAAUUGAAGAGGUUUGGAAAGACCCACCACAGAAGGUAAUAGUCCUGUAUGUUAAACGAGAAGACUUUAGAUAUGAUCCAGAGUACCACGGGACACGUGAAACCCUGUGGGAAGCAGGAGGGACCACCCUCCAAGGCUAAAUACUACCUAGUGACCGAUAGCGUAUAGUACCGUGAGGGAAAGGUGAAAAGAACCCCGGGAGGGGAGUGAAAUAGAACCUGAAACCCUGCACUUACAAGCUGUGGAAGCACAUUUCUUGUGUGACCGCGUACUUUUUGUAGAACGGGCCAACGAGUUACGUUAAGUAGCAAGGUUAAGCACUUAAGGUGUGGAGCCGUAGCGAAAGCGAGUUUUAACUGAGCGUUCAGUUACUUGACGUAGACCCGAAACCGGGCGACCUACCCAUGAGCAGGAUGAAGCGAAAGUAAAAUUUCGUGGAGGUCCGAACCCACGAGCGUUGAAAAGCUCGGGGAUGACUUGUGGGUAGCGGUGAAAUUCCAAUCGAGCCCGGAGAUAGCUGGUUCUCCCCGAAAUAGCUUUAGGGCUAGCCUCAAGGUGAGAGAUACGGAGGUAGAGCACUGAAUGUCCUAGGGGGUAUUGCACCUACCGAAGACUAUCAAACUCCGAAUGCCGUCAUCUUAUACUUGGGAGUCAGACUGUGGGUGAUAAGAUUCAUAGUCGAAAGGGCAACAGCCCAGAUCGUCAGCUAAGGUCCCUAAAUGUAAGUUAAGUGGUAAAGGAUGUGGGAUUGCACAGACAACCAGGAUGUUGGCUUAGAAGCAGCCACUCAUUCAAAGAGUGCGUAAUAGCUCACUGGUCGAGUGAUCCUGCGCCGAAGAUUUCCGGGGCUAAAACUUACUACCGAAGCUACGGCAUCAGUAAUGAUGGGUAGGGGAGCUUCCCAUACGGGUUGAAGCAUGACCGUAAGGACAUGUGGACAGUAUGGGAGUGAGAAUGUUGGCAUGAGUAGCGAGAUGUGGGUGAGAAUCCCACAGGCCGUAAACCCAAGGUUUCCAGGGGAAGGUUCGUCCGCCCUGGGUUAGUCGGGACCUAAGCUGAGGCCGAAAGGCGUAGGUGAUGGACAACAGGUUGAUAUUCCUGUACUACCGAUAACCGUUUGAGAGAAGGGAUGACACAGUAGGAUAAGCUAAGCACACUGUUGGUUAUGUGUGCCCAAGCAUUGAGGCAGUCAAAGUAGGCAAAUCCGCUUUGAUAAUGCUGGGAUGUGAUGGGGAGCGAAAUUUAGUAGCGAAGUAGCUGAUUUCACACUGUCAAGAAAAGUCUCUAUCGAGGUUAAAGGUACCCGUACCGCAAACCGACACAGGUGGGUGAGGAGAGUAUCCUAAGGCCAGCGAGAGAACUGUUGUUAAGGAACUCGGCAAAAUGACCCCGUAACUUAGGGAUAAGGGGUGCCACCAUCAGGUGGCCGCAGAGAAUAGGCCCAAGCGACUGUUUACCAAAAACAUAGGUUUCUGCUAAGUCGCAAGACGAUGUAUAGGAGCUGACGCCUGCCCGGUGCUGGAAGGUUAAGGGGAUCUGUUAGAGCAAUCGAAGCAGUGAACUUAAGCCCCAGUAAACGGCGGCCGUAACUAUAACGGUCCUAAGGUAGCGAAAUUCCUUGUCGGGUAAGUUCCGACCCGCACGAAAGGCGUAACGAUUUGGGCACUGUCUCAACAACAGACUCGGUGAAAUUGUAAUUCCGGUGAAGAUGCCGGAUACCUGCGACAGGACGGAAAGACCCCAUGGAGCUUUACUGUAGCUUGACAUUGGGUCUUGGUACUACAUGUACAGGAUAGGUGGGAGGCUUUGAAACCAGGACGCCAGUUUUGGCGGAGCCAUCCUUGGGAUACCACCCUUGUAGUACUGGGACUCUAACCAUAGGCCAUGAAUCUGGUCUUGGGACACUGUCAGGUGGGCAGUUUGACUGGGGCGGUCGCCUCCCAAAAGGUAACGGAGGCGCUCAAAGGUUCUCUCAGUACGGUCGGAAAUCGUACGUAGAGUGUAAAGGCAAAAGAGAGCUUGAUUGCAAGACAUACAGGUCGAGCAAGGAUGAAAAUCGGACUUAGUGAUCCGGUGGUUCUGCGUGGAAGGGCCAUCGCUCAACGGAUAAAAGCUACCCUGGGGAUAACAGGCUUAUCUCCCCCAAGAGUCCACAUCGACGGGGAGGUUUGGCACCUCGAUGUCGGCUCAUCACAUCCUGGGGCUGUAGUAGGUCCCAAGGGUUGGGCUGUUCGCCCAUUAAAGUGGUACGCGAGCUGGGUUCAGAACGUCGUGAGACAGUUCGGUCCCUAUCCGUCGCAGGCGUAGGAAAUUUGAGAAGACCUGUCCUUAGUACGAGAGGACCGGGAUGGACGUACCUCUGGUGUACCAGUUGUCCUGCCAAGGGCAUGGCUGGGUAGCUAUGUACGGAAUGGAUAAGCGCUGAAAGCAUCUAAGCGCGAAGCCAACUUCAAGAUAAGAUUUCCCACCGCAAGGGUAAGACCCCAGAAAGACUAUCUGGUUGAUAGGUCGAAGGUGUAAGUGCAGCAAUGUAUUUAGCUUAUCGAUACUAAUAGGUCGAGGACUUGACCAA